UGAAACAAGCAGUAACACCAAGCAGUGAAUUAAGUGUGAAGUAGCACUUAAAUAUUGCAGGCCGGGCUUGUGAAUAUGAACCCUUUUGGGGAUCCCCACUUUUUCUGUGGGCAAAGAUUUUUCUCCCUGCAAAAUGCAAGUUAACAAUUCACUGUUCUGGUGAGUCCAAGUCCCGCUUGCAGAUUGUUUCACUGCUUUGACUGCUGAAUGCCUGUGACAUGGAGUGUGCAGAACUUGAAGAGGUCCAUCUGCUAAGGGAAAUAAUCCUGUGUCAUUGCAAAAUAUGUUUCUGGGUGUGCAUGCAUUUCUCUGUGCUCCUUCUUUGUCAUGAUUCCUCGAUUUAAUUUAAAUACAUGUUUCACUUCUCUCCAUAUUUCAGGUUUAUUGCAGAGUAUGAAAAUCAGGAAGCUUUUUGUUCACUUCAUACAUCUCUUCCAACAAAGCCAGACAUCCAAACCCGCCACAGACUCCAGAGUGAUUAUUGUUACACAUGAUCUAUGGAGCAGAUAAAUUGCAACUUGAUUUUUAUAAGGAAAUCUGGAAAACAGCACACUCAGAACCAGGGCAGAGCAUGGAUUUUCCCACUUUGCUGAAUUCCUGCAGGGAGAGAUGCAAAACCCAGUUGGAUGUGAGGGAACCAUCAGCACGAGCUCCUGAGCCAAAAUAGGAGCUGAAGCCCCAGAAAGUGGUGGGGUAGAGCUGUGAAUCCUAGCAACAGGCGGGGAAAGAACUGUACGUUUCCUCACGUCCUCCAAGUGUUGGUGCCUUCUGGUACAUCAUUGACAGGAAGAGACACAGACCAUGGAAAGGCCCUCCUUGCUGAUGCAUCAAGAAAGGGCACAUUUUUUCCAGUGGGAUGGGUAGCAAAGGAAAGUGGUGCUUUGAAGAAUAAACCCCUCUGCCUUCAGAACGAAGCUCAGGCUACACAGGAGGCUGGAGCAACUUACAGAUUCUAUUCAGGCUCCUCUCUGGGCAUGCUGGGUGACCUUGUGUUCUCCCAUUUUCCUCUGGGGGAGAUAUUAUUUAUCCCUGAUAAUAAAACACAGGAUUCUUCAACUGCUACUCGUGGUUUAAUCUAUUGUGUCAACUUACACAAGCUCUCUUGGAAAAAAAGGAAGAUCAGA
Long non-coding RNA from Melozone crissalis (California towhee), 1124 nucleotides. RefSeq lists it as uncharacterized. NCBI's taxonomy places the organism in Eukaryota, Metazoa, Chordata, Aves, Passeriformes, Passerellidae. The record is from RefSeq and is a predicted model, not a curated record. The transcript has 4 exons.